RNAcentral lists this long non-coding RNA (438 nucleotides) under Ananas comosus (pineapple). Its description in RNAcentral is "long non-coding RNA (ACOM_LNC027013)". Lineage: Eukaryota; Viridiplantae; Streptophyta; Magnoliopsida; Poales; Bromeliaceae. The record is from RNAcentral.
GUAAACUUUUUUUUUUUCCUUCUUCGCUGAUAGUCAAAUAAACUUUAAAAAAUAUAUAUUUGGAAUCUGAACUUACGAAAGCUUUCUUAUGAACCAUUUUUCAGAUCGUUCACCCUGAUCAUUAAUCGCAAAAGUUCAGGCUAUUAGAAAGAUACAACUAAUUCACUUAAAGCGUACAGAUAUAGUACUCGUGGGUCUUGAUUGUGACUCGGCCCAACCAGCUUUACACUAUUUCGAACAUGAUUCGACUCAAGUCAACCUACCUUCAUUUUGAACGUGACUCGGCUCAACCUAGCCUCUCGUCACAGGACAGAAUGUUGACCCUUCAAAUUAACACCAUCGAGUAUUAUAUUUCAUCCAUUUAAAAUGAUGAGUAUUCAGGCAUAAUGUAAAGAAUAAUGAAAGACAUAUUCUUUCAAUUUAGAAGGAAUAUAUUUU